CUCUUGAGAGCGGCGGACGGGUGAGUAAUGCCUAGGAAUCUGCCUGGUAGUGGGGGAUAACGUUCGGAAACGGACGCUAAUACCGCAUACGUCCUACGGGAGAAAGCAGGGGACCUUCGGGCCUUGCGCUAUCAGAUGAGCCUAGGUCGGAUUAGCUAGUUGGUGGGGUAAUGGCUCACCAAGGCGACGAUCCGUAACUGGUCUGAGAGGAUGAUCAGUCACACUGGAACUGAGACACGGUCCAGACUCCUACGGGAGGCAGCAGUGGGGAAUAAUGGACAAUGGGCGAAAGCCUGAUCCAGCCAUGCCGCGUGUGUGAAGAAGGUCUUCGGAUUGUAAAGCACUUUAAGUUGGGAGGAAGGGUUGUAGAUUAAUACUCUGCAAUUUUGACGUUACCGACAGAAUAAGCACCGGCUAACUCUGUGCCAGCAGCCGCGGUAAUACAGAGGGUGCAAGCGUUAAUCGGAAAUUACUGGGCGUAAAGCGCGCGUAGGUGGUUUGUUAAAGUUGGAUGUGAAAUCCCCGGGCUCAACCUGGGAAACUGCAUUCAAAACUGACUG
This 560-nucleotide ribosomal RNA is filed under the name uncultured bacterium. RNAcentral describes it as "bacterial SSU rRNA". It matches the Rfam family "Bacterial small subunit ribosomal RNA", at positions 86 to 639 of the family's 1533-position model. The record is from RNAcentral.